GUUAUACUAUUGAGGCAAACGUAUUUUGAUUAUAAUGAUAAAUUGUGAUGUUAAUGAAUUUUAGAAUGUUUAAUUAGGUGAAAUUUUUAAAUUUUUUAUUUCUUGAGACAAUUUUUAUGAAGUUUUUUUAGUGACUAGGAUUAGAUACCCUAUUAUCAAAAUGUGAGUUAAUUAGGUAGUAGAAAUUUUUUGAAACCUAAAGAAUUUGGCGGUAUUUUAAAUGAUCGGAGGAACCUGUUAUUUAAAUGAUAAUCCACAACAUAUCUUACCUAGAUUUUGUUUGUAUAUCGUUGUAUUAGGUGAUGUUUAGAAAUUAUUAUCAGUGUCAAUUUAUUUUCAAAAAUCAAAUCAAGGUGCAGCAUAUUUAGGUUAUAAUGGGUUACAAUAUUAGUUAAAUAUUACGGAUAUUUAUUGAGAAUAUUUUUGAAGGUGGAUUCGAAAGUAAUUUAAAAUUAAGAUGU
RNAcentral lists this ribosomal RNA (461 nucleotides) under Hadrurus arizonensis. Its description in RNAcentral is "partial 12S ribosomal RNA". Lineage: Eukaryota; Metazoa; Arthropoda; Arachnida; Scorpiones; Caraboctonidae. The record is from RNAcentral.